This 253-nucleotide ribosomal RNA is filed under the name uncultured bacterium. RNAcentral describes it as "partial 16S ribosomal RNA". It matches the Rfam family "Bacterial small subunit ribosomal RNA", at positions 524 to 776 of the family's 1533-position model. The record is from RNAcentral.
CACGUAGGGCGCGAGCGUUGUCCGGAAUUAUUGGGCGUAAAGAGCUCGUAGGCGGCCUGUUGCGUCCGCUGUGAAAGCCCGGGGCUUAACCCCGGGUCUGCAUUCGAUACGGGCUGGCUAGAGUGUGGUAGGGGAGAUCGGAAUUCCUGGUGUAGCGGUGAAAUGCGCAGAUAUCAGGAGGAACACCGGUGGCGAAGGCGGAUCUCUGGGCCAUUACUGACGCUGGGGAGCGAAAGCGUGGGGAGCGAACAGG